UAAUGUCUGGGAAACUGCCUGAUGGAGGGGGAGUAACUACUGGAAACGGUAGCUAAUACCGCAUAACGUCGCAAGACCAAAGAGGGGGACCUUCGGGCCUCUUGCCAUCGGAUGUGCCCAGAUGGGAUUAGCUAGUAGGUGGGGUAAAGGCUCACCUAGGCGACGAUCCCUAGCUGGUCUGAGAGGAUGACCAGCCACACCGGAACUGAGACACGGUCCAGACUCCUACGGGAGGCAGCAUG
This 242-nucleotide ribosomal RNA is filed under the name uncultured bacterium. RNAcentral's name for it is "partial 16S ribosomal RNA". It matches the Rfam family "Bacterial small subunit ribosomal RNA", at positions 111 to 353 of the family's 1533-position model. The record is from RNAcentral.